AAAGGUGGCCAUUUGCAAACAAGUUCUCAAAUCUCAACACAGUCUUUCAUAUUUGCAUAUAGUCUGUUUGUUUGCUUCACAAAUAAUAUACUGAAAUACUUUUCCUCUAUACUCCUCUUUUCUUUUCUUGUGUUCAUUUUUCAAGAUGCAAAAGCAAGAAAACCAAGUGAACCAACCUCCUCCAGGUUAUCCUACUGAAUCUACACCAACUGGAAAGAAGAACAAGAAGAUGAAGUGCUUUCCUAGAAGUAAACCAAAAGGAGAAAGGGGAUUCCUUGAAGGAUGCCUCUUUGCACUAUGCUGCUGCUGGAUAUGUGAAGUUUGUUUUGAUUAAAUAUUUAGGAUUUGGCCACAUAUAAAGAAGUCCAUGAGUCCUUUUUAUGUUGAUCUAUUGAACUACUGAUGUAAUAUAUACUUCUGUAUUCUGUAUUCCUCAAUAUACUUCUGUAUAUUGGUUAAGGUGUGUUACUUGUCUUUCAAUUAGUUUUAUACUAUCUUGAGUUUUGUAAGAAUCGUUGUGUAAGCAAUACUAGAGAUAAUACAUGUCUUACGUACCUAGA
Non-coding RNA from Nicotiana tabacum (common tobacco), 560 nucleotides. NCBI's taxonomy places the organism in Eukaryota, Viridiplantae, Streptophyta, Magnoliopsida, Solanales, Solanaceae. The record is from RefSeq and is a predicted model, not a curated record.